AUAUCUAAUUGCUCUUCCACGGCGGGUGAAGGGGAUGAUCUGAGUAGUGAGGACGAUCAGAUUCCGUCU
RNAcentral lists this transfer RNA (69 nucleotides) under Rhodosorus marinus. Lineage: Eukaryota; Rhodophyta; Stylonematophyceae; Stylonematales; Stylonemataceae. The record is from RNAcentral.